GAUGAACGCUGGCGGCGUGCCUAAUACAUGCAAGUCGAGCGAACAGACGAGGAGCUUGCUCCUCUGACGUUAGCGGCGGACGGGUGAGUAACACGUGGAUAACCUACCUAUAAGACUGGAUAACUUCGGGAAACCGGAGCUAAUACCGGAUAAUAUAUUGAACCGCAUGGUUCAAUAGUGAAAGACGGUUUUGCUGUCACUUAUAGAUGGAUCCGCGCCGCAUUAGCUAGUUGGUAAGGUAACGGCUUACCAAGGCAACGAUGCGUAGCCGACCUGAGAGGGUGAUCGGCCACACUGGAACUGAGACACGGUCCAGACUCCUACGGGAGGCAGCAGUAGGGAAUCUUCCGCAAUGGGCGAAAGCUUGACGGAGCAACGCCGCGUGAGUGAUGAAGGUCUUCGGAUCGUAAAACUCUGUUAUUAGGGAAGAACAAAUGUGUAAGUAACUAUGCACGUCUUGACGGUACCUAAUCAGAAAGCCACGGCUAACUACGUG
This 496-nucleotide ribosomal RNA is filed under the name uncultured bacterium. RNAcentral describes it as "partial 16S ribosomal RNA". It matches the Rfam family "Bacterial small subunit ribosomal RNA", at positions 28 to 507 of the family's 1533-position model. The record is from RNAcentral.